Molecule: long non-coding RNA, 518 nt
Filed under: Vulpes vulpes (red fox)
Lineage: Eukaryota; Metazoa; Chordata; Mammalia; Carnivora; Canidae
Description: lncRNA (ENSVVUG00000027726.1)
Source: RNAcentral
UGCCGUGAAAACCUGAAGAUCACAAAAAGGAGGAGGAAGAGCUUCAGCUCUCAUCCCUAUGAAGAGGGGCAAGAUGAAGCUCUGAAGUCUCCAGUUGCCUGCUGUCUCCUGAAAACUCAUCCUGCAGAAGAAUCAGCUUACAUAGCCUGCCCACAGGACUAUCUUAAAUAUUCUUGGAGUUCACAGUCACCUGAUGUCAAGGCUCCCCAUCACUCUGUAUGGCUGUUUGAAAGCCUGCCUGAGGUACUUCUCUCACUCAGUUCAAACAGUAUAUCAUUUAGGUUAAACAUUACCAUCUUGGGAUCCUCUGUGAGUCUAAUUUACCCAUUUGUUUUUUUUCUUCUCCAGGAAGACUCCUGGAGCUCUCCACACUCUGCUUGAGAGCCUAAAGGGCUCCUAGGCUGCUUUAUGAGGAACAUGAGCACACUGGCCUAUGAGCACUUUGAUGGCUAGCAGGAACCCCUGGAAAUCCUCAGUUUGUGCUGGCUGAAGGACCCUCAUCUUCACAGCAUGACUAA